RNAcentral lists this ribosomal RNA (690 nucleotides) under Scolecobasidium minimum. RNAcentral's name for it is "SSU rRNA". It matches the Rfam family "Bacterial small subunit ribosomal RNA", at positions 447 to 1146 of the family's 1533-position model. The record is from RNAcentral. Lineage: Eukaryota; Fungi; Ascomycota; Dothideomycetes; Venturiales; Sympoventuriaceae.
GACAGGUUUUUAAAGGUUAACUUUAUAUUUAAAUUGUCUUGGCCAAAUCUUGUGCCAGCAGUCGCGGUAAGACAAGGAAGACUAGCGUUUUUCAUCUUUAUUAGGUUUAAAGGGUACCUAGACGGUCUAUUCAGCCUUGAAAAGGGAAACGGAUAAGACUAGAGUUAAAUGUGGGAGGUUAAUUUAGAAUUGAAAGAGGAGAGAUAGAAUUUUUUUAUACUUUCAAGACUGAUAAUGGUGAAAACAAUCCUCUAUGUACUAACUGACGUUGAGGGACGAAGGCAUGGUUAUCGAAUAGGAUUAGAUACCCUAAUAGUCCAUGCAGAAAAUGAUGAGUGUCAUAAAUAAUAAGACUAAUUAACCAUAAAGGUUAAAAUUAGUUUGAUGUUUAUAAAUGAAAGUGUAAGCAUUCCACCUCAAGAGUACUACGGCAACGUAUAAACUGAAAUCAUUAGACCGUUUCUGAAACCAGUAGUGAAGUAUGUUAUUUAAUUCGAUGACCCCCGAAAAACCUUACCUCAAUUUGUAUUAUAAUGUUAAAGCAUUAUAACAAGCGUUGCACGGCUGUCUUCAGUUAAUGUCGUGAGAUCUGGUUAACCCCUUGAAUUAACGCAAGCCCUAUAUUUAUUUAGCUAUAUAAAUAUUUAUCAUUAUAAUGAUGUAUCUCUUUAAAGCCAUAGGCAUUUUAUU